GCCCCCACCGGGACGGGGCCCCGGGGCCAUGGCCUCGCGGGGGGCGCGGCCAGGAGUGGAGGCCAGCUCCGGGACCCGCUCCGGGACAGGGCGCAGAGGCCGCGGCGCAGGGGCGCGCGGAGCACGAGGGGCUCCCCGCGAAGGCCCACGCAGAUGGGGAGCCUAAGGCCGGGGUUAGGCGCCGGCGGAAGGGGGUUGGGAGGCACUGGGUUCCUGAGGCCCGGGCCAGCGUCCUGAGGGGCAUUCAGAAUCCUUGGCAAGGUCCUCCUGUCCAAGAGGCUUCUGCAGACGGCAUGAAAGGGCCUCCCUCGGGCAGAGCCUCUAAGCCCCUGGAGAGCAGGCCGCUGAGGGAGACCCUCCGGGGCUUCUGCACAUCCGAGGACAGUGACAUCAAUAUCACCAGUGGGGAAGAGGACCACAAGGAGCAGCCUUUCCCAGGCGUCUGCAACCCCAAAGCGAAGGAGAACAGUGGCCAUGUCCCCCGGGCUCUCCCGGACAGCCGGGCGGCACCACCAGAGGGCCUUUGCUGCUACAUCUGCGGGUCCCCGCUGUCCCCGGCCUCGCACCACCAGGUCCACGUGCAGAAGCAGGAGAAGCUGGCGCAGGCCCCGUUCUUCCCCUUCCUGUGGCUGCACAGCCCGCCCCCAGGGGCACAGCCCAUCAGUGAGGGCGGCAGCACCCUGGUGUGCGCCAGCUGCUUCUCCUCCCUCACGCAGCAGUGGCAGAGCUUCGAGCUGGCCAACGUGCCGGUGCUGCAGCGACUCUAUGUGGUGCCCCUGGACAGCCACGCCCCUGGCAUGGCCUCCAAGGGCAGGAGGCUCCCGAGAGAAGAGGGCCUGCCCUCCGGGGCCCUGCGAGAGGCCUGCUACCUUUGUGGGGAGGACUGUACCCCAGAUGCCCGGGCGGUCCCCUCCAGGAUCCUCAAUGGCAACGCCAGGAGCGCCAUGCAUUUCCCCUUCCUCAGCCUCCUUCCCUGCCCGCCCAACGCCCAGGGCCCCAACAAGCGCUGUGAGGUCCGCAGCUGCCCCAAGUGUUUCAGCGUCCUAGAGGAUGUCUGGGCCCUGUACAGGGCCUGCCAGAACGAGGAGCUCAUCACCUCCGUGCAGGGCUUCCUGGGCAGGUACCACCAGGCCUUCUCCGCCUCCGACCCUGCCCUCUCCGAGCUGCCCGCGUCAGCCCAGGGCGGCCCCGUGUCCAUCUGCUACAUCUGUGGGGCUGAGCUGGGCCCCGGGAAGGAGUUCCAGCUCAACGUGAACCCUGCCAGCCGCUUGGGCGAGAAGGAGCCCUUCUUCCCCUUCCUGACUGUGUACCCGCCUGCCCCUCGUGCCAGGCCUGUGGACUCCACCGGCCUGGUGGCCACCUGUGUGCUCUGCUACCAUGACCUGCUGGCCCAGUGGCUGCAGCAUGAGGCCCGCAGCACCCACCAUGCUGUCAGCGCCUGGUCCCGGCAGUACCAGGUGGAGACAUUCGUGUGCUUCUUUUGCCAGCAGGAGAAGAAACGGUGUCUGGGCCUGAAGUCCGUGCGGGUGGCCCGGCUGCCCCUGUUCCUAUACACCUUGCGAGCAAGCCACAGCCUGUUGGUGGAUGACGGACAGCAGCUGAUCAUUGGCGCUUGCGUGGAGUGUGGGACCCUGGUGUGUGCGGGUCAAGGGCUCAACCGCCAGGGACCCAUGAGCUGGAGCUCCCCAGUGGCAACAGCGACGAAGAACUUUCUUCACAGAGAUGUCAUGAGGGUGAGACAAAGCUGUUGACGUGUUCUGCACAGACCAAGAUCCCAGUAAAAACUCGGUAAUUGUUCAUAUUUGUUUAUGGGCCUUACUCAUCAUUCCCCAGUGAGUCUUCAGCCUCCUCUUGAUCCUUCCAGGGAUGGAGAACUCACUCCCUCAGAAACCAGGCCUCACCUGUGAUGUGUCAGGAAGGAAUGACAGGCUUCUGAGGAUCCUCUGCAGCUCUGAGAAUUCUGCCUGGGGAGUUCUGCCGAACAGGAAUCGUUUUGGGAGGGGCUUUUGGACCCCAUUUGUGACUCAGGCCUGUCUUCCUUCUUGUUGUUUCUGGUUCUGGUUUAUUACCUUGUCUCAGAACGAACGCCUGUGGCUCCUAGUGACUCUGCUCGUGGCAUCUUCUGAUGUCUCUGCUCCCCCUUCCCCUGCAUGCCUGGCAAAUUCUUGAUCUUGUAUUUCCUAGGGGAAAAAAGGGGAACCUGCAACAUCAUGUUUUCCCUCAGGAUGUGGAGAGAGAAAUUUCUAACCUCAAUGAUGCCUGCUAAAUUAUACUUAAGAAGGGGGCCAGGCACUGGCAUAUUUUCUAAGCAUUCCCCGUAUGCUUCCCUCUUUCCCCCAUGAAAACUCCUUUACUUUUCUCUAAAAUUCUGCAUGGGAGGGAUUAUUACCGCUACUUUAACGUAGGCAAUUAAAGCUAUGCAUGUUCCUCUAAGCACUGCUUUAGCUGCACCCCACACUUUGUGAUAAGUCAUUUCUCAUUCUCAUCUCAUUUGAAAUAUUUUUCAAUUUCCCUGUGUUUUUUUAGAAAACAUGGAUUAUUUAGAAGU
Molecule: long non-coding RNA, 2548 nt
Organism: Rhinopithecus bieti (black snub-nosed monkey)
Lineage: Eukaryota; Metazoa; Chordata; Mammalia; Primates; Cercopithecidae
Source: Ensembl